Molecule: long non-coding RNA, 220 nt
Filed under: Manihot esculenta (cassava)
Lineage: Eukaryota; Viridiplantae; Streptophyta; Magnoliopsida; Malpighiales; Euphorbiaceae
Description: long non-coding RNA (MESC_LNC007904)
Source: RNAcentral
UCCAACAUGGAUCACGUUUAAACAAGGAAAAUAAUAAUAAUUAAAGAGAAAAUAAAUACCUUUUAUUUUCUUUGCAGCAAAAUACGAGAUCGAUCAUUUUGGUUGGGUUGUCGCAAACCAUAAACCGUCUAAGUGUCUGGUCUCUAACGAUACCCACGCAGAAUAGCAAUCGAAAAACCUUAGAACAGUUAUAGAUAUUGAGAAUGAGAGAGAUUUUGAG